ACUUGAAUAUCUUAAUUUGUAAAGGUUAGUAUUGAAGAUACUAAGAUGGUGUGAUUACCUUCAAGUA
RNAcentral lists this transfer RNA (67 nucleotides) under Davidius lunatus. RNAcentral describes it as "tRNA-Phe". The record is from RNAcentral. Lineage: Eukaryota; Metazoa; Arthropoda; Insecta; Odonata; Gomphidae.